AUGGCAGACGGGUGAGGACACGUACUUAACCUGACGCGUAAUGGGGGAUAGUCUCUCGAAAGAGGGUUGAAUACCGCAUAGGCUCUUGAGGUGGAAGGCUUCAGGAGGAAAGUAGGACUCUGCGAGCAAGCUGAUAGUCAGGCGAGGGGGGUGCGUCCUAUUAGCUAGCUGGUAGGGUAAUGGCCUACCAGGGCGACGAUGGGUAGCUGGUCUGAGAGGAUGAUCAGUCACACUGGGACUGAGACACGGCCCAAACUCCUACGGGAGGCAGCAGUGGGGAAUUUUGCGCAAUGGGCGAAAGCCUGACGCAGCAACGCCGCGUGAGUGAAGACGCCUUUCGGGGUGUAAAGCUCUGUCAGUGGGGACGAAGGUCUGGUGGUGAACAGUUAUCAGGCGUGACGGUACCUGCGAAGGAAGCCCCGGCUAACUCCGUGCCAGCAGGCGCGGUAAGACGGAGGGGGCGAGCGUAGUUCGGAAUUACUGGGCGUAAAGCGCGCGUAGGCGGGGUGCCAAGUGCGAAGUGAGAGCCCUCGGCUUAACCGGGGACGGGCUUCGCAGACUGGUAGGCUUGAGUGUCGGAGGGGGCGGCGGACUUCCUGGUG
RNAcentral lists this ribosomal RNA (602 nucleotides) under uncultured organism. Its description in RNAcentral is "bacterial SSU rRNA". It matches the Rfam family "Bacterial small subunit ribosomal RNA", at positions 95 to 675 of the family's 1533-position model. The record is from RNAcentral.